Long non-coding RNA from Sinocyclocheilus grahami, 2273 nucleotides. The record is from Ensembl. Lineage: Eukaryota; Metazoa; Chordata; Actinopteri; Cypriniformes; Cyprinidae.
AAGCUAUCCAAAAGAACCAGUUCAUGCAAAAGAAUUGGAUUUGAGGCUAUGGAUUACAGGUAAAAAUGUUGUAAAUAAUGUUCAGUUUCUUGCACAGAUGGAUCAUUUCGCUUCAUAAGACCUCAGUAUAUCAUUAGGAGCCAGGAGUAUUAUUUUGGUCUUGUCUCUAUGCGUUUUUAAUUCUCAAAGUAACAGUAGCCAUUUACUUGCAGUCACCUACAACUUGAAUGGCCUGAGGAUGAGUAAAUUAACAGCAAAUUUUCUUUUUUGGGUGAACUAUCCCUUUAAAAGCAUUACUGACCAAUUCUACUUUAGCAACUGUUGCCAUCCACUAUAUUUUAAGGAAAUAGCUUUUGCUCUUUUGUAGGUCUAUGGAUAUCCUGUGUGUUUAAACAGAAUAUGUUUAGGCCUUUUGACCCUCGAAUGCAUGAAUACAUAUUCAUAUACAUAUACAUACACACGGAUAUUUGAACAAUUACACAGUAAUAAAAUAAAGCAUCUGGACCUUUUGAUACACUAAUCUUAAAAUGUUUUCAUUUACAUCAUCUUCAAAAUCAGUAUUUUGUAUCAUGACAGCUUUGUCAUCAGAUCCACCAUUAAAUGAUGCGAUUUGAUUAUGAACUUGCUCUGCAGUAAAUCGCUGAGCCUUGUCAAGAUUUGCUGAUCACACUCAAUUUCUUACAGAUGUCGGCACCUUGAGAAAUAAAGGCCUUCAAAUCCCUGUGCUGAAGGUGAUGUCUGACAUCGUGUCUGAGGGGGAAGACAUUAUUGCCACAUGCAGUGCACCAGAGGAGACAGGCAGUCUGAUGUUCUACUUCUACGAGGAUGAUCAGGAGGUCAAGAGAGUCGUUAGUACCAGCAACUCUGUGACAACCACUCUGACCAUGCAGAAGCUCACAGACAUCUACCUGCAUUGUGACUAUAUGGUUAUGAAGCAAUGCAGCGCAGGACACUCCAACAAAAGCAACAUGGUGAAAGUUAUUGUACAAGAUCUUGAUGCGAUCACCCCACAAAUAAGCAUCUCCCCCAAAGUGAAUGUUGUUGAGGGUGACAGGGUGCAGAUCACAUGUAAGGUGCAACUUAACUCAGAUCUUGAGUUGUACCUCACCAAAGGCAACACCCUUCUUCGUGAAUCUCAUACAACCUUCACAUACAGCCUCGUAGUAAGAGCUGAGGAUUCAGGGGUCUAUGUGUAUAAAGCAGAGAAAGGCAGCGUGCAAAAGAAGGCAGUCUAUCUGCUAAAUGUUGCAGAACUGUUCUCAAAGCCAAUUUUGAAAAUGAGCCCAGACCAGCUUUUUGAAGGAGAACGCUUCACUCUGACCUGCAGCAGUACUGUAAUCUCCUCAGUGAAGAUCGGAAAAGCAGACAUAAAGUAUGUUUUGCUGAAAGAUGGCCGACGCAUUGCAGCAGUUGCCAAAUACGAUGACACUGCAAGCCUGGCCACCAAUGGGAACUACUACUGUAUGGCCAUGGCUAAAGAAGUUAACAAGACCAGCUUACCAUUUAUUUUAAAGGCUAAAGUGCCUGUUUCUGCCCCAGUCCUUCGUGCUGUUAAUAAGGUGAUUGUUGGUAAACCAUUCAGAGUUUCAUGUGAGUCUGAAAAUGGAACGUUUCCAAUAACCUACACCUUACUGAAGACCAGCGUUCCAGUGGAUUACAGGACAGUGGUUGAGGCAGCUGACAGGGCGAUCUUUAAUAUAACCUCCAUCAGUUUCCCUGAAGAGAUCUACAGCUUCAUAUGUCAGGCGUCUAACCAUGUGCCAUCAUUCAGUAACACCAGUGAGCCCCUUAGAGCACCAGUCAUAGGAACUCCCUUUGUGAUGGGCAGGAAUGUCUGGAGUGAAAAUGUAUCUGGCUCAGAUUCUGAUGAUCAUACUGAUGAAGACUCUGAGCUGGUUCACCCACAGGAAGUCAAUCCUAGAGGAGAUGUUCCCGUGAAGAAACCCACAGAGACCGAAUACAGUGUCCAGCACACAGAGGUCCAGGUAUCCACACCAGGAGUUUCGGAACAGGCUGAGGGCGUAAGUGACGCACAAUGUUGACACACAGACACAAAAGUCCACAUUUAGGUAUGUACAAAUAGUUUUGCAACAGGGAGGCCCUCUUGUGGAAGAAAUAGGUGCCACAGAAGAAAUCUCAAUACGAUGUAUCUGAUUUGGUCAGUUUUAUGAGGCCUGUCAGGAAAAUUUCCAAUCACACAAAAUCCAAAGAGGAAAAUUAAGAAAAUAGCACAUUUUACAUGUAUUCCAAAUAUUUUCAAUUCUCAUUGCCAU